RNAcentral lists this ribosomal RNA (231 nucleotides) under uncultured bacterium. RNAcentral describes it as "partial 16S ribosomal RNA". It matches the Rfam family "Bacterial small subunit ribosomal RNA", at positions 104 to 334 of the family's 1533-position model. The record is from RNAcentral.
CGGGGUGGAGUAAUGUCUGGGAAACGUGCCUGAUGGAGGGGGAUAACUGCUGGAAACGGUAGCUAAUACCGCAUAACGUCGCAAGACCAAAGAGGGGGACCGUUCGGGCCUCUUGCCAUCGGAUGUGCCCAGAUGGGAUUAGCUAGUAGGUGGGGUAACGGCUCACCUAGGCGACGAUCCCUAGCUGGUCUGAGAGGAUGCCAGCCACACUGGAACUGAGACACGGUCCAG